Molecule: microRNA precursor, 208 nt
Filed under: Oryza glumipatula
Lineage: Eukaryota; Viridiplantae; Streptophyta; Magnoliopsida; Poales; Poaceae
Description: MIR812 microRNA precursor family
Rfam family: MIR812 microRNA precursor family
Source: Rfam by way of RNAcentral
AAUAAAUAUAGUUUUGCACUAUUUACGUUCAACGUUUGACCGUUCGUCUUAUUUAAAUUUUUUUUAUGAUUAGUAUUUUUAUUGCUAUUAGAUGAUAAAACAUGAAUAGUACUUUAUGUGUGACUAAAUAUUUUCAAAUUUUUCAUAAAAUUUUCAAAUAAAACGGACGGUCAAACGUUGGGCACGGAUAUCCACGGCUGUAUUUAUU